CCCUCAGAGCAGAGCGGAGCACGCCCUUUUUACACAGAGUGCUUCUGUGAACAGCCUCCUUGAGCAAGAGGUUACCUCUCACUCCCUAAACCACCGCCACCUUGGUCCCACCCCGCCAUGGCAGCACUGUUCCCAAGCUGCUGGAACUGUGAAAAUGGAGUCCCCUGGAGAUUCUCCCUUAUCUGUGAUGCCUUGUCUGUCAGGCAGCCUGUCUGCUGGGACCCACAGUUAAUGAACCUCCUUCUUUGACCACUGACAGAGGAACCCCGACAUCAUCUAACAGUCUCUGAGAUGUCCAGGUCUAAGAUGACUCAAAGGCUUGGUUCCCGCCACCCAUACUGGGCAGCUCAGGACUCGAGGAACAGCAGUUCCAGCGGCGUCUGGCAUCUCCUUCACUGCCAUCGACACUCAUGUGCACACACACUCCUACAGAAACACACGAGGCAUACGAUAAACAAAGUAAACCUUUAAAACCCCACAUUAAGUUCUACUGGUUUCUCUAUGUAGUCCUGGCUGUCCUGGAACUCCCUCUGUAAACCAGGCUGGCCUUGAACUCAGAGAUCCUUGAGUGCUUGGAGCAAGGCAUGUGCCACGGUACUCCACUGCCAGGCUUGCUGGCUUGUUUCCAGACAGAGUCUCUCUAUGUAGCUCUGGUUGGCCUUGAACUCCAAACUGGUCUCCAACUCCCUCCACCUGCCUUCGCUUCCCAAACGCCUGGACCAAUGGCAUAUGCUACUAUGCCCAGCCCAUAGGUUAUCUUCAAGAGCUCUUUGUUAUUUUCCUUU
RNAcentral lists this small RNA (785 nucleotides) under Rattus norvegicus (Norway rat). RNAcentral's name for it is "uncharacterized LOC103691619". The record is from RNAcentral. Lineage: Eukaryota; Metazoa; Chordata; Mammalia; Rodentia; Muridae.